This 472-nucleotide ribosomal RNA is filed under the name uncultured bacterium. Its description in RNAcentral is "bacterial SSU rRNA". It matches the Rfam family "Bacterial small subunit ribosomal RNA", at positions 1 to 507 of the family's 1533-position model. The record is from RNAcentral.
CGUCUACGAGUUUGAUCCUGGCUCAGAGCGAACGCUGGCGGCAGGCCUAACACAUGCAAGUCGAACGCCCCUUCGGGGGAGUGGCGGACGGGUGAGUAACGCGUGGGAACGUGCCCUUUGGUACGGAACAACUGAGGGAAACUUCAGCUAAUACCGUAUGUGCCCCCAUUCUUAGCGGGAUGGGUGGGAAAGAUUUAUCGCCAUUGGAGCGGCCCGCGUUAGAUUAGCUAGUUGGUAGGGUAAUGGCCUACCAAGGCGACGAUCUAUAGCUGGUCUGAGAGGAUGAUCAGCCACACUGGGACUGAGACACGGCCCAGACUCCUACGAGAGGCAGCAGUGGGGAAUCUUGCGCAAUGGGCGAAAGCCUGACGCAGCCAUGCCGCGUGAAUGAUGAAGGUCUUAGGAUUGUAAAAUUCUUUCACCGGGGACGAUAAUGACGGUACCCGGAGAAGAAGCCCCGGCUAACUUCGUG